GAAAUCCCGUUUGGUAAGACGCAGGCCACGUCACCAAUAGCGAGUCUUGGAUGGCUAGGGGUGAUCCUAGCUGUUAAGCGUAGACAUUCAGAUAGAAAC
Non-coding RNA from Peptococcaceae bacterium BRH_c23, 99 nucleotides. The record is from Rfam. NCBI's taxonomy places the organism in Bacteria, Bacillati, Bacillota, Clostridia, Eubacteriales, Peptococcaceae.